Non-coding RNA from Ricinus communis (castor bean), 108 nucleotides. Lineage: Eukaryota; Viridiplantae; Streptophyta; Magnoliopsida; Malpighiales; Euphorbiaceae. The record is from Rfam.
GUAUCCAUGGUGUGGGCAUUGUAUUAAAAGUAAUUUGAAGCGAUUCCAUGUUUCAUGAAAGGACUUAAUAUCCUUUUGGUGAAAGUUAGAAAUUUCAAUCCUUAAUUC